AGCUAAUGCCUUUACUGGUGUUGGUUUCAAGAACUUGUCUAAACCUUAUCAUUUAGAGGAAGGUGAAGUCGUAACAAGGUUUCCGUAGGUGAACCUGCGGAAGGAUCAUUACCACACAAUAAUCCAAACCGCGCUUACAUUAAACCCAUAGGCUCUGGCCCUGCUAACUAGUGGUAAACCCCUCUGUAACCCAUCGAGUCUCUCUGGUGUUUACGACCUUAUAAGAUCUCAUUAUGUGCCACUGCCGUGAUGAUGCAACCUGGAGGCCAACGAGUACGAUCCACCAAUUUAAAUUCAAUCGACAGCUUGACGAGAGUCAAGUUUAAAAGUAUAACAUUCCAAUACAACUUUCAGCAAUGGAUGUCUNGGUUCCCAACACAAUGAAGAACACAGCGAAAUGUGAUACGUAAUACGAAUUGCAAGACUUUGUGAAUCAUUGAAUUUUUGAACGCAUAUUGCGCUGCCAGAUUCUUUCUGGGAGCAUACACGACAGAGUAUCAUCAAACCCCAAUCUAUAACAUUAUUUGUUAUGGGCAAGUGAAGUUGGCUUUAAACAAAGCACUCCUUCUAAGUUAUUUAGUGCAGAGGUAUUUUCACAUUGUAGGAAACUCAGUGUAUUUGUUUCAACGUGCUAUUGGUCAAAAUUCACUUUUUGACUGUCUUCUUAACUGAUCUCUGGCUGUGUAGGACUACCCGCUGAAUUU
RNAcentral lists this ribosomal RNA (704 nucleotides) under Didymosphenia geminata (rock snot). RNAcentral's name for it is "eukaryotic LSU rRNA". The stretch from base 346 to 500 matches the Rfam family "5.8S ribosomal RNA". Lineage: Eukaryota; Bacillariophyta; Bacillariophyceae; Cymbellales; Cymbellaceae. The record is from RNAcentral.